This 606-nucleotide long non-coding RNA is filed under the name Zalophus californianus (California sea lion). Its description in RNAcentral is "lncRNA (ENSZCAG00015015177.1)". The record is from RNAcentral. Lineage: Eukaryota; Metazoa; Chordata; Mammalia; Carnivora; Otariidae.
GGGCGGUGCUGGCUCUGGUCCCUGGAGUUUGCAUUUGCCACGUACUGAGUUAGAAAGGCAGCAGAAAAAAAUGGAAGUCGGAGCCGUAUUGAAAAUGUCAGCGCGCGUCCAUGGUGGCACGUGGGUGUGAGAGCCAAUCCAGACGCUGCGCGGGCCGUUUGAAGUCCCCCGGGGGCCGCGCUUCGGGAGUCUGUCCGAACCGGUAGUUGUGCGCAGCGCGGCGUGCGGGAGGGAGGAACUGCCGCUUUACACCCUCGCUUCUCUGGGUGAAAUUCCUCUCAUGGGAAGGACUGGGCUCAGGUUCCUACCUUUCCGGGAGUGGGAGAAAAAGACUGACAGGUCAUUAAGAAGGUCUAUGAAUUUAGAAAACUCAAGAUUUGGGCUCAAUUACAUCAGCAACCUUCCUCCUCCAGCUCUUGUAAACUUUCCAUCUACUGAGAUUUUCAAAAUCUUUGUGACAGCCCGCUGACCCAAACGGGUGUGAGGAGGUACGCAGGUGUGUGUAUUUCGUAUACCUUUUAUGUAGUCAUGUAUAUGUGUGUACAUCCCUCCCUCAAUUCUGUUAGAAAAGAAAUUAUACUUUUUAAAUUUAUGUAUCUCUUCUCC